AACGAACGCUGGCGGCAUGCCUAACACAUGCAAGUCGAACGAGAACUGCGGGUCUAGUGGCGCACGGGUGCGUAACGCGUGGGAACCUGCCCUUAGGUUCGGAAUAACUCCCCGAAAGGGGUGCUAAUACCGGAUAAUGUCCUCGGACCAAAGAAUUAUCGCCUUUGGAUGGGCCCGCGUUGGAUUAGCUAGUUGGUAGGGUAAAAGCCUACCAAGGCGACGAUCCAUAGCUGGGCUGAGAGGAUGAGCAGCCACACUGGGACUGAGACACGGCCCAGACUACUGCGGGAGGCAGCAGUGGGGAAUAUUGGACAAUGGGCGAAAGCCUGAUCCAGCAAUGCCGCGUGAGUGAUGAAGGCCUGAGGGUUGUAAAGCUCUUUUACCCGGGAUGAUAAUGACAGUACCGGGAGAAUAAGCUCCGGCUAACUCCGUG
This 433-nucleotide ribosomal RNA is filed under the name uncultured bacterium. RNAcentral's name for it is "partial 16S ribosomal RNA". It matches the Rfam family "Bacterial small subunit ribosomal RNA", at positions 29 to 507 of the family's 1533-position model. The record is from RNAcentral.